Molecule: ribosomal RNA, 812 nt
Filed under: uncultured bacterium
Lineage: Bacteria
Description: bacterial SSU rRNA
Rfam family: Bacterial small subunit ribosomal RNA
Source: RNAcentral
CGGGAGGUGGGCGAGUGGCGAACGGGUGCGUAACACGUAGGAAUCUGCCCCAAAGAGGGGGAUAACCGCUGGAAACGGUGGCUAAUCCCGCAUACCCUCGCGAGAGGAAAGCUCCGGCGCUUUGGGAUGAGCCUGCGGCCUAUCAGGUAGUUGGUGGGGUAACGGCCCACCAAGCCGACGACGGGUAGGGGGCGUGAGAGCGUGGCCCCCCACACGGGAACUGAGACACGGUCCCGACGCCUACGGGCGGCAGCAGUGAGGAAUCUUGCACAAUGGGGGCAACCCUGAUGCAGCGACGCCGCGUGCGGGAAGAAGGCCUUCGGGUCGUAAACCGCUUUUCUGGGGGAAGAGGAAGGACGGUACCCCAGGAAUAAGUCCCGGCUAACUACGUGCCAGCAGCCGCGGUAAAACGUAGGGGGCGAGCGUUAUCCGGAAUUACUGGGCGUAAAGGGCGUCUAGGCGGCACGCCAAGUCUCGCGUGAAAGCUCCCGGCUCAACUGGGAGAGGGCGCGGGAAACUGGCGAGCUAGAGACUCGGAGGGGGGUGUGGAAUUCCCGGUGGAGUGGUGAAAUGCGUUGAGAUCGGGAGGAACACCCGUGGCGAAGGCGGCACCCUGGCCGAGGUCUGACGCUGAAGCGCGACAGCGUGGGGAGCAAACGGGAUUAGAUACCCCGGUAGUCCACGCCGUAAAUGAUGACAACUAGGUGUCGGGUGUCCAAGGACGUUCGGUACCGCAGCUAACGCGUUAAGUUGUCCGCCUGGGGAGUACGGCCGCAAGGCUAAAACUCAAAGGAAUUGACGGGGGCCCGCAC